GAUGAACGCUGGCGGCGUGCCUAAUACAUGCAAGUCGAGCGAACGGACGAGAAGCUUGCUUCUCUGAUGUUAGCGGCGGACGGGUGAGUAACACGUGGAUAACCUACCUAUAAGACUGGGAUAACUUCGGGAAACCGGAGCUAAUACCGGAUAAUAUUUUGAACCGCAUGGUUCAAAAGUGAAAGACGGUCUUGCUGCCACUUAUAGAUGGAUCCGCGCUGCAUUAGCUAGUUGGUAAGGUAACGGCUUACCAAGGCAACGAUGCAUAGCCGACCUGAGGGGGUGAUCGGCCACACUGGAACUGAGACACGGUCCAGACUCCUACGGGAGGCAGCAGUAGGGAAUCUUCCGCAAUGGGCGAAAGCCUGACGGAGCAACGCCGCGUGAGUGAUGAAGGUCUUCGGAUCGUAAAACUCUGUUAUUAGGGAAGAACAUAUGUGUAAGUAACUGUGCACAUCUUGACGGUACCUAAUCAGAAAGCCACGGCUAACUACGUG
Molecule: ribosomal RNA, 497 nt
Filed under: uncultured bacterium
Lineage: Bacteria
Description: partial 16S ribosomal RNA
Rfam family: Bacterial small subunit ribosomal RNA
Source: RNAcentral